Molecule: long non-coding RNA, 1494 nt
Filed under: Monodelphis domestica (gray short-tailed opossum)
Lineage: Eukaryota; Metazoa; Chordata; Mammalia; Didelphimorphia; Didelphidae
Description: lncRNA (ENSMODG00000035323.2)
Source: RNAcentral
CCUGAGGGAUAGGGGAUUUGUAGCUAAACAGCUUUCCCAGUCCUGCUGCUUUGGAUUUGGAAAAAAAAAAAGGAAAAACAGCUGUGUUCUAUCUAAUUUAAGGAGAAAGGGAAACAAUUCCAAAUUUACAUACCUCUACAGCUGAUCAAAAUAAGCUUUUAAAAGCUGAACUUAGUCACAGUAGAGAAAAGAUUUAGGAAAGAUAAGAAGAUUGAGGGUACUUUGUCACAACUGACAUAGUCAGCCACCAACUGUAAAAUUAAUUUUAGUCUCUAGUAAUAGAAAUAUUAUAUUUUGUGAGGUUUAUUAAGGAUUAUUAGAAAAUCAAGGAAUAAAGACAAUACACCACAUACCCAUGGCUGAUUAGCCAAUUCAGAAUGCCCGUGCUUAGCAUACUUACUACACCAUUGCAAUGGCUGAGUAGAGAGAAGCCUGUGAGGCAGAGAACCAGUUAAACACUCAUUGUGAUCUCACCCAGGUGGAGACUCAGGUGAGAUUAUAGGGAAUUCUGGGAAAUACCAAGGACUUCUGGGGAUUGAAGUCUAGGUUUCAAAUCUUCAUUUUAUACCCCAAAGUGUGAAUUGAGUCCUUAUCUGAAGCCCAGACUAGAAUUCCCUAGACUGGAGCUCCAGACUUCUCCACAGGAUCUUGAACCCAGCAAGUGCCCCACAGAAUCCUCCCAACCAAUUUUUUUACCUCUGCACUGUCCUUGGCCUGAGAACUCCUGAAGUUGUUGCUGCCACCACUGAAGCUACCUUCAAGGACUGCUUCUGGACCUAUUACAGACUAAACUGCAAGAUAUGCACUGUGUUCCAGGCUCAAAUAACACCCCUGUGAAACAGACCCUUCUUGCCAACUUCCUAAGAGCAAGAUUUUUGAGUAUCAUGCUAAGGAAUUUCUUAGUUUGCUUCUUUGAAGACAAAGAAAAGGAGUCAUUUAGAUGCCUAUGAACACGUGCCUAUUGUGAUAUUUAACAGUUUUGAUAAUGGUUAGCUACUUCAAAAAUAUCCAAAGUCUCAAGAGCUAUACAGAUAUUCUAGGAGUCAACAGGAAAUUGAUGAGGUUCCUAAGCCUUCAACUUGUCCUAGCAGCCAUCCAAUUUCCCAGAGAUUUUGCUCUCCCUUGAGUCAUGUCAUGAAAAAUGGAUUGUGGAUCUCCAGAGGCAUCCCAGUUGCCUUAUUGGAAUACCAAUGGUAAAUGAAGAGAUUUGUUCAAGUCGGUAUAUUAUUGUAAGCUGCCUUUUUCAUUAGGGCUUGGCUUGGGAUUCUGCUGUUACUCAGUCAGUCAGACUAUCAUUUUUGCCCCUCAGCUUCAACAGGCUCAGGCUCUAUUUGGAGAAAAUGGUAUUAGCAUAAUGGAUUGUAUUAAAUAGCUGGAAGGAGUUUGAGAACAUUAAUGAAAAGCAUAAAAAAGCACAGAGAUAUGUAUAUGUGUAUAUAUAUAUAUAUAUAUAUAUAUAUAUAUAUAUAUAUAUGAUCAUUCACAGAAAGUGGG